RNAcentral lists this transfer RNA (69 nucleotides) under Marmota marmota marmota (Alpine marmot). It matches the Rfam family "tRNA". Rfam says of the family: Transfer RNA (tRNA) molecules are approximately 80 nucleotides in length. Their secondary structure includes four short double-helical elements and three loops (D, anti-codon, and T loops). Further hydrogen bonds mediate the characteristic L-shaped molecular structure. tRNAs have two regions of fundamental functional importance: the anti-codon, which is responsible for specific mRNA codon recognition, and the 3' end, to which the tRNAs corresponding amino acid is attached (by aminoacyl-tRNA synthetases). tRNAs cope with the degeneracy of the genetic code in two manners: having more than one tRNA (with a specific anti-codon) for a particular amino acid; and 'wobble' base-pairing, i.e. permitting non-standard base-pairing at the 3rd anti-codon position. Lineage: Eukaryota; Metazoa; Chordata; Mammalia; Rodentia; Sciuridae. RNAcentral also lists the same sequence under 5 other names. The record is from Rfam by way of RNAcentral.
GGGGUUGUAGCUCAGUGGUAGAGUGCUUGCCUAGCAUGUGUGAGGCACUGGGUUCAAUUCUCAGCACCA